This 1007-nucleotide long non-coding RNA is filed under the name Nicotiana benthamiana. RNAcentral describes it as "long non-coding RNA (NBEN_LNC018808)". The record is from RNAcentral. Lineage: Eukaryota; Viridiplantae; Streptophyta; Magnoliopsida; Solanales; Solanaceae.
AACAAAGAGCACAAAGAUGUUUGUGUAAAAGAGAGAGAAAGUUUAGAACACUGAGUAUUCGUGUGUGUGUGUGCCAAGUGAUAUGCAAUGUGUUGGUGUCUUGCAAAGAGAAUGGGGGAGGGUACUUAUAGUACUGAAUACGAGUAAACAAACAAGGUAUCAGUCCCUUAAUUAAGGGACUGGCAUCAAUCACAAUCAAAUAAGUAUAUGGACUUCCCUUUGAUUAAGGGAUCCCAAAUCAAAUAGUAAUAAUCAGUCAUUUAAAAGGAAAGAAAUCACAAAGUAAGGUAUAAUUACAUAAGGACACAGAGUAGCAUAAAACAUGCAAUAAAGACUAGAUACAUGGCCAUCUAAUUAGGGAAAUAGUACAAGCAAAUCAAUCAACAAAUUUGUGUACAUAUAUAGGGCAGAAUACCACCGUAAUUCUGAAAAAAUAGUUUUUCAAAAUAAUGAACGAGAUUGAAAACAUAGGAAUGUAUUAACCGAAGAAAGUAUCCCACAAAUUAAGGAAGAAAUUCAAACUAUAGGGAGAACACGUAGAAUCACAAUUUUAAAGCAAGUAUCACAAUCUCAAAGAGGGCUCGAAGAAUCAAUAUAAAAUCACCAUGUAAGCAAUAAGAGAAACUUUUAAGUGAAAAACGUAGAAUGGUCGGGGAAUGAAACACUAACAACAAAAUUAGAGCAAAGAGCAUAGAACUCGGAGAAGAGCCCAGAAGAACACAAACCAAGCAAAUAGUGCAAACACAAACAUACAAAGUUAUGGUUUCAGCAGACUUAAGCAAAAUGUUUAGAAAAUAGUACUGAGAAUCACAAAUUAAUACUCAAAAUCAGAAAAUAAAGUGAUUUCGAAACGGGGGUCAGAAACCCUAAUUUCAAAAAGGGAACAAAAUCGUUUAAAACUGGAGUAAUCACAAAGAUCGAGUAAUAAUAGUGCAAAACAUAAAGGUACGAGUUAAAAUCGUUAAAAAAUAGAGAUUUGGGAGGUUUGGAUUAAGAUUAGGGUUUCA